RNAcentral lists this ribosomal RNA (445 nucleotides) under uncultured bacterium. Its description in RNAcentral is "bacterial SSU rRNA". It matches the Rfam family "Bacterial small subunit ribosomal RNA", at positions 354 to 796 of the family's 1533-position model. The record is from RNAcentral.
GUAGGGAAUAUUGGUCAAUGGACGAAAGUCUGAACCAGCCAUUCCGCGUGCAGGAAGAAGAUUCUAUGGAUUGUAAACUGCUUUUAGCAGAGAAGAAACGCCUUCAUUGAUGAGGAUUUGACGGUAUCUGCGGAAUAAGCACCGGCUAACUCCGUGCCAGCAGCCGCGGUAAUACGGGGGGUGCAAGCGUUAUCCGGAAUCACUGGGUUUAAAGGGUGCGUAGGCGGGAAAUUAAGUCAGUGGUGAAAGUCUGUUGCUUAACGAUAGAAUUGCCGUUGAUACUGAUUUUCUUGAAUUGGGUUGAGGUUAGCGGAAUGUGACAUGUAGCGGUGAAAUGCAUAGAUAUGUCAUGGAACACCAAUUGCGAAGGCAGCUAGCUGGGCCUUGAUUGACGCUGAGGCACGAAAGCGUGGGUAGCGAACAGGAUUAGAAACCCUAGUAGUCC